This is a small nucleolar RNA of Trichechus manatus latirostris (Florida manatee), 84 nucleotides long. RefSeq annotates it as small nucleolar RNA SNORD86. The record is from RefSeq and is a predicted model, not a curated record. The transcript has a single exon. NCBI's taxonomy places the organism in Eukaryota, Metazoa, Chordata, Mammalia, Sirenia, Trichechidae.
GAUCAUGAUGAUGCUAGCCAGGGCCCCUGUCCUAUACAGGCCUCUGCUGUGGGGGUGAUGGCCAGUCCUGGUCUCUUAGUGAUU